GCGCCCGUAGCUCAGCUGGAUAGAGCAUCAGUUUCCUAAACUGGGGGUCGUGAGUUCAAAUCUCGCCGGGCGCA
This 74-nucleotide transfer RNA is filed under the name candidate division WOR-1 bacterium RIFCSPHIGHO2_02_FULL_45_12. RNAcentral describes it as "tRNA-Arg". It matches the Rfam family "tRNA". From Rfam's summary of the family: Transfer RNA (tRNA) molecules are approximately 80 nucleotides in length. RNAcentral also lists the same sequence under 2 other names. The record is from RNAcentral. Lineage: Bacteria; Bacillati.